This 117-nucleotide non-coding RNA is filed under the name Clostridia bacterium. RNAcentral describes it as "MoCo sequence". It matches the Rfam family "Molybdenum/Tungsten riboswitch aptamer (Moco RNA motif)". Lineage: Bacteria; Bacillati; Bacillota; Clostridia. The record is from RNAcentral.
AAUGAGCUUUACUCCGAGCCUGCUUUGCCUAAGGCACCGGCUAUGGCGGCAGGCCGAUACGGUGGUCCUGGAAACGGGGCCGCCCCCCGUGUGGAAAGGAGUGAGCACGCAUGAUUG